UACAAUGGUCAAACUACAUUAAAACAGAAUUGUCCCCAUUUUAUCUUUAAUAGUUACUAACAUUAGAUAUGUUAAUGAGAUAUGGACCGCAAAACCAAAAAUGUCCCUGCUUUUCAUUUUUGAAAACAAGUCACUGAAUGCAAGUAGUCGCCUUAGCUUAUUUUGUUAUGAGAUGUGAAUUACUGUUCAAUCUAGUUGAUGUAAUAAUCGUUUGGUUUAUUUUACAUUAAAAACAAGUUACAAUUUUCAAAAGGUCUUUAUCGGGGGGGAGGCCCUUUUCCCAGUUCAGAGCAAUAGCCCCUCCAAAUGUCUGUGCACGUCCCUGUUCACAGAGGGUGUGAGUAGGUGUUCUCCCAGUGAGACUGCAUGCUUCCCAUCAAGGGAGUUGUCUCCUUCCUCUGCUCCGCCCAUUAUGAGCCUUGUAUCAGCUGCACUGUAACUCGAGCUGAAUUUCAUGAAUAAUCCUCCAGUCUUUCCCGGACUGCGCCGGACAUAGUAAGACAUGAAAUCCAGAAGACAGCCCUCUCUCUGCAGUCUCACGUGUUAAAAGUCCAACAGACCCUGGAUAUCUCUGAGUUUUCUGGCUUCACUAACAACUGGGAUCUCGGUGAAUCAACCGAGAGUUUCUCAGCUCGGAUACAGGAAAUGGGCGGGGUUAGCAACAUCUAACCAAUCAGAAACAGGGACGAGCUAACUGACUGCGCGUCAUUCUAAAUACAGAGUGUUUUCCUGUGGCCAAGAUGUGGGAAGUACAAUAUUGAGGUAUUUGUAUUUUACUUGAGUAUUUCCAAUUAUGCUACUUUGCACUUCUACUCCACUACAAUUCAGAGGUAAAUUGUGUACUUUUCCUCCACUACAUGUAUUUAAUACCUUUUAGUUAUUUUACAGAUGUGGAUGAAUGCUGUGAAAUCUAAUCAAGUGUUAAAUCAGACUUUAGUUCCACCUGGAGUAAAUUCACAAGCUACCCUGCACGUAUACAAAGUCAUUCAGCAUGCAGCCCAUCAGGACAAAGCUCCGGACCUGGGGUGACAGGGCCUUCGCAGUAGCCUCCCCCUCACUCUGGAACUCCCUCCCCAGCCACGUCAGAUCCGCCAACACUCUCACAUCAUUCAAACAAUCCCUCAAAACUCACCUUUUCACUUUUGCCUUCAACUCCUAAUCAACUAACCCCUUGCCCUUAUUCCUCCUAGCUUAGCGCUUUGAGCACCAGGAAAAGCGCUUUAUAAAUGUAAUGUAUUAUUCAAACUAGCUGCACCUUUACCAGCUUUGAUAACACAUCAAUCAUUAUAAAACAUAUAUAUAUAUUAUUCUGAAAUGGACCAAUAUAAGUGGGUGCAAUACCGCGUUUCACCAUAACAUCCAGAGGGGUGCUGUUUCACUCGUUGUAAAAUACUCAAUGAAAAAAGCGGAGCGAUGGCAGCAUCGAAUAAUUAAACAUACUAAACAAUGCAGAUUUCUUUACUAAAAUCAUAACAACGGUCUGAAUAAACAGAGGAGAAAACCCACUACCGAUCAAAGUUGUGCAGUUACAGUAACUCAUACUGUAAGCAUCUCACUUCUUUAUUUCCUCUUUAGUUUUGUGUAUUUUAUUUUAUAAUAUCUCUUGUUCUAUGACCAUCAGCCCACACUGGCUCUAAAAUAAACCUCCUAUAAAUGUGCAGGUGGCAUUCAUAUUCAUCAUCAGUAUGAAGUGUACCUGAAUGCAGUAUAAUUCCCUCAAAGCAUAAUGUACUUAAAGUAUAAAAAGUGUUCAUUGUGCAGAGAAGGUCCUUUAUGUGUAAUGAUGUGACAUUUCUAUCAAGAAGCAUUUUACUGUUGUAGACUAAGUGCUGAUUUACUUUUUGUAAAAUAUUUAAAUCUUUGACUUUUUUCUGACUUACAGAGUUAGAGCACUAGUUUAAUUUUAAGAGAAGCAUUUUGUUAAAAGAAUAGCUAAGGCUGUUGAAUAAAUGUAGAGGAAAGACAUUACAUUAUUUCCCUUUUUUAAAAGCAGUUGAAAUACUCAGGAAAUGUACAAGUACCUCUACUUUAUGUGGGAUCAUUUUUUAAAUAUAAAAGAUCACUGAUAUGCAGCUGAAUAAAUGUUAAUAUCAUUCAA
Long non-coding RNA from Gymnodraco acuticeps, 2098 nucleotides. RefSeq lists it as uncharacterized. Lineage: Eukaryota; Metazoa; Chordata; Actinopteri; Perciformes; Bathydraconidae. The transcript is spliced from 2 exons. The record is from RefSeq and is a predicted model, not a curated record.